UAAGGAAUAUUGCUCAAUGGGAGAAAUCCUGAAGCAGCAACGCCGCGUGGAGGAUGAAGGGUUUUUGACUUGUAAACUCCUGUAAAGAAGGAAAAAAUUCCCAUUAGAUGGGAAAUGAUGGUACUUCUGGAGUAAGCCCCGGCUAACUACGUGCCAGCAGCCGCGGUAAUACGUAGGGGGCAAGCGUUGUCCGGAUUUACUGGGUGUAAAGGGUGCUCAGGCGGAUUUGUAAGUCAGAGGUGAAAUCUCACAGCUUAACUGUGAAACUGCCUUUGAUACUGCAAGCCUAGAGUAUGGAAGAGAGUGAUGGAAUAUCUGGUGUAGCAGUGAAAUGCGUAGAUAUCAGAUAGAACACCAAUGGCGAAGGCAGUCACUUGGUCCAUAACUGACGCUAAAGCACGAAAGCGUGGGUAGCAAACAGGAUUAGAUACCCUGGUAGUCCACGCCCUAAACGAUGAAUACUAGAUGUUGGCUUCGCAUGAAGUCAGUAUCUGAGCUAACGCAUUAAGUAUUCCACCUGGGAAGUACGAUCGCAAGGUUGAAACUCAAAGGAAUUGACGGGGUCAUAGCUGUUUCC
Molecule: ribosomal RNA, 577 nt
Filed under: uncultured bacterium
Lineage: Bacteria
Description: partial 16S ribosomal RNA
Rfam family: Bacterial small subunit ribosomal RNA
Source: RNAcentral